CAACCAAGAUGGUGACAUCUUAGUGAAUCACAAGAAGUCAGCAGAGGUCAUAGUAAUGCUAACGGC
Non-coding RNA from Oceanobacillus iheyensis HTE831, 66 nucleotides. Lineage: Bacteria; Bacillati; Bacillota; Bacilli; Caryophanales; Bacillaceae. The record is from Rfam.